This is a long non-coding RNA of Dermacentor albipictus, 619 nucleotides long. RefSeq lists it as uncharacterized. Lineage: Eukaryota; Metazoa; Arthropoda; Arachnida; Ixodida; Ixodidae. The record is from RefSeq and is a predicted model, not a curated record.
GUUGUGGGUAAUUAGAAAGUUUAUUGCGGCGUUUAGUUGCAGAACCUCGUUGUUUUGGUGAACGUUUGUGGUUAUUGACGUGAAGUGAGCGUGCGCACUGAAGGCGACGUGAUUAUGCGUGAGAAAGAACGGCUCCAGUGGCCUACAACAUCGGUGUUUCUUUGGGAUCGUGUGUUUACUAUGCCUACGACGGCAGUGAUUCGUGUCAAAGGAGAAAACCCCGUCCACUCGUCCUGAACAGUGAUGAAGUGAAUGUUUUUGUUUCGGAGGAAUCGGCGGAACAUCGCCCAUACACUACGUAGACGAAAUGCCGUGCCCAGAGUACGCAUCGUGACAGCGCUCCACCUUCAAACCGAGGGCCAUUUGCGAGGCACAUGGUGCUCAUAUAAAAGCGACGAAAAUGUCAAAACUUCCUGCUGGAUGCAGAAAACUGCAGUCUACAAGACAUGUUGGUUGUGAGUGGCGGCAAAAAGACGCAUAUGGCUAGAGCGAUCAAUGAAGAAAUGGAUUCAUCUAAGAUGGCUCGCCUUUAGACAUUGGAACGAAGCUACGCAAAGGCAUCACUAGGCUCGCCUGUGCCCUGUAACAUUGGUUUAUAUGAGACUGUUCUUCCAUGUAG